GAUGAACGCUGGCGGCGUGCCUAAUACAUGCAAGUCGAGCGAACAGACGAGGAGCUUACUCCUCUGACGUUAGCGGCGGACGGGUGAGUAACACGUGGAUAACCUACCUAUAAGACUGGGAUAACUUCGGGAAACCGGAGCUAGUACCGGAUAACAUGUUGAACCGCAUGGUUCAACAGUGAAAGACGGUCUUGCUGUCACUUAUAGAUGGAUCCGCGUCGCAUUAGCUAGUUGGUAAGGUAACGGCUUACCAAGGCAACGAUGCGUAGCCGACCUGAGAGGGUGAUCGGCCACACUGGAACUGAGACACGGUCCAGACUCCUACGGGAGGCAGCAGUAGGGAAUCUUCCGCAAUGGGCGAAAGCCUGACGGAGCAACGCCGCGUGAGUGAAGAAGGUCUUCGGAUCGUAAAACUCUGUUAUUAGGGAAGAACAAAUGUGUAAGUAACUAUGCACGUCUUGACGGUACCUAAUCAGAAAGCCACGGCUAACUACGUG
Molecule: ribosomal RNA, 497 nt
Filed under: uncultured bacterium
Lineage: Bacteria
Description: partial 16S ribosomal RNA
Rfam family: Bacterial small subunit ribosomal RNA
Source: RNAcentral